GAUGAACGCUGGCGGCGUGCCUAACACAUGCAAGUCUACUUGAUCCUUCGGGUGAUGGUGGCGGACGGGUGAGUAACGCGUAAAGAACUUGCCCUGCAGUCUGGGACAACAUUUGGAAACGAAUGCUAAUACCGGAUAUUAUGUGAGUUUCGCAUGAAAUUCAUAUGAAAGUUAUAUGCGCUGCAGGAGAGCUUCGCGUCCUAUUAGCUAGUUGGUGAGGUAACGGCUCACCAAGGCGAUGAUAGGUAGCCGGCCUGAGAGGGUGAACGGCCACAAGGGGACUGAGACACGGCCCUU
RNAcentral lists this ribosomal RNA (297 nucleotides) under uncultured bacterium. RNAcentral's name for it is "partial 16S ribosomal RNA". It matches the Rfam family "Bacterial small subunit ribosomal RNA", at positions 28 to 334 of the family's 1533-position model. The record is from RNAcentral.